Molecule: ribosomal RNA, 431 nt
Filed under: uncultured bacterium
Lineage: Bacteria
Description: partial 16S ribosomal RNA
Rfam family: Bacterial small subunit ribosomal RNA
Source: RNAcentral
CCUACGGGAGGCAGCAGUGGGGAAUAUUGGGCAAUGGGCGAAAGCCUGACCCAGCCACGCCGCGUGAGUGAUGAAGGCCUUCGGGUCGUAAAGCUCUGUGGGGAGGGACGCGGUACCUCCUUAGCAAGCACCGGCUAACCAUGUGCCAGCAGCCGCGGUAAUACAUGGGGUGCAAACGUUGCUCGGAAUCAUUGGGCGUAAAGCGCGCGUAGGCGGUUAUUUAAGUUGGAUGUGAAAGCCCUCGGCUUAACUGAGGAAGUGCAUCCAAAACUGAAUAGCUAGAGUACGAAAGAGGGUCGCGGAAUUCCCGGUGUAGAGGUGAAAUUCGUAGAUAUCGGGAGGAACACCGGUGGCGAAGGCGGCGACCUGGUCAGACUGACGCUGAGGCGCGAAAGCGUGGGGAGCAAACAGGAUUAGAUACCCUUGUAGUC